Molecule: ribosomal RNA, 440 nt
Filed under: uncultured bacterium
Lineage: Bacteria
Description: bacterial SSU rRNA
Rfam family: Bacterial small subunit ribosomal RNA
Source: RNAcentral
CCUACGGGUGGCAGCAACUGGGAAUAUUGCGCAAUGGGCGAAAGCCUGACGCAGCGACACCGCGUGUGGGAUUAAGGCCUUCGGGUUGUAAACCACUGUGGCGAGGGAUGAAUUUUGACCGUACCUCGCUAGAAAGCACCUGCUAACCACGUGCCAGAAGCCUCGGUAAUACGUGGGGUGCAAGCGUUAUCCGGAUUUACUGGGCGUAAAGCGUGCCGUCGGUGUUUAAGUAAGUUCUUUGUUUAAGCCUAGGGCUCAACUCUAGAAAAGCAGGGAAAACUACUUGAAUUGAGUUUGUUCGGGGAAGCUGGAAUUCUCGGUGGAGGGGUGAAAUCCGUAGAUAUCGAGAGGAACGCCAUACGCGAAGGCAGGCUUCUAGGACAUAACUGACACUCAGGGACGACAGCUCGGGGAGCAAAAGGGAUUAGAUACCCGAGUAG